CGUAGGCCAACCACCCUUAUAACUCUACUCUCUGUCUCGUACAACAACAUCAGCCUACAAAACAACAAUAAUAUCAUCGAACAAUGGCAAGUUCACCAGUAAUAAAGCAGCAACAUACAACCUUAACUACAAUAACAAACAACAUCAACUAGUGACAACAACCAAUACUCAACAACUUUGUCUCUUAUUCCUCCAAUUCUUUUCAUCUGCGCACAAGAUUAAACUUGCCAAGCAUGCCCUCCAUACCUUCAAAAAUGUUCCAGCAAUUUUUCUUCAAAUUUAUCCAUUUCCCUUUUAAAAUUCAUACUAAUUAGUACGAAACUUGCCUCAUACAACCUUAUCCUCCCUUCAAAAUUAAAAAUCCAUCUGCAAUUCUCCCCAAAACCCCAUGAAAUUUAUGCAAUAUUAUCCUGAAUUUCCAUUUGUGGCACUCCUAUGGGUGAAGGUAUGGUGCCAAGCUCAACUUAUCGUCGUCCAUUUUCAGAUUAAUUAACAGCCGUUGAAAUUAGUAUUUCUCCAAAAUCCCAUAUAAACUGAACCCAAAAAUUGGGUCCUAAUAAUUUCUCAUAUAAUCCUACUGUUCUCACUGAAGGGGGAAGGGGAGAGAAGAUUCGUCAACAAAGAGCCCCAAAGAUGCGAGGUAUUCACUUGAAAAAAAACGAGAGUGAUGCAAGUGUAAAAAAAAAUCUGAUUUCUUCAUGAUGCAACAAGAAUUUCGAUGAAGGCUUGAAGUCCUGAUUUGCUGCUUUGAAAAAGGUAAACACCUUGCUCUCUCUUUUUAGCUACUACAACAACAACAAUAAACCCAGUGUAAUCCCAUAAAAUGGGAUUUGAGUGGGUAAGAUGUACGCAGUUCAUGCCACUACCACUGAAGAAGUAGAGAGUCUGUUUCCGAUAGACCCCGGCUCAACAUGAAGAACAUUAAACAAAGGGAUGUAUGGCAUAAUAGAGAAGUCAGGAAUAAGAAAUAAUAAAAUAGGAAGUACGAACUACGAAACAUAUGGGUGACACGAAAUAAGAAAAGUACUAAGACAUAAGACAAAGGACACCUACCUAGUAGUAAGCUACACUAACAUAACACGUCACCUAUGAACACAGACUUAGGUUUACUAACCUGGCUACAAAGGAACUCACCUACCUGCAUGUUGCACCCCACACAUACACCUUAGCCAUCUACCCUUAUCCGCAACCUCCACAUUUUCCUAUCUAGGGUCAUAUCCUCAGUCAGCUGGAGCUGCUCCAUGUCAUGUUUAAUCACCUUCCUCCAGUAUUUCUUCGGUCUAUCUCUGCUCCUUUUGAAGCUAUCCAAAGCUAGUCUCUCACACCUCCGAACUGGAGCAUCCGUGCCCCUCCUCAUCACAUGCCCAAACCAUCUCAGUCUUCCUUCUCGUAUCUUGUCCUCCACUAAAGCCAUUCCCACCUUUUUCCGGAUAAUCUCAUUCCUAACCUUGUCACCUCUAGUAAGCCCACACAUCCAAUGCAACAUUCUCAUUUCCGCCACCUUCGAUUUUUGGAUGUGAGGGUGUUUGACUGGCCAACAUUCCGCUCCAUACAACAUGGCCGGACGUGCUGCCACUCUAUAGAAUUUUCCUUUAAGCUUAAGGGUCACGUUCUUAUCACACAACACUCCUGAGGCGAGCCUCCACUUCAUCCAACCUGCUCCAAUACGUUUAGAGACAUCCUCAUCAACCUCACCAUUCCCUUGAAUCGUAGAUCCAAGAUACUUAAAUCUGCCCGUCUUGCAGACCUCUUGAGAGCCCAACCUCACCACCCCUUCGUCCUCCUGUCUCAAUUCACUAAAAUUGCAUUCCAAAUACUUAGUUUUGGACCUACUCAACCUAAACCCCUUAGACUCAAGGGUUUGCCUCCAAAUCUCCAGUUUGUCAUUCACACCCCCUCGCGACUCAUCAAUCAACACUCCAUCAUCCGCAAAUAACAUACACCAAGGCACCUCAUCUUGAAUACUCUGCGUCAACACGUCCAUCACCAAAGUAAACAGGAACGAACUAAGAGUCGAUCCUUGAUGCAGCCGGGUCUCGAUCGGGAAAUGCUCUGAGUCUCCUUCCGCCGUCCUUACCCGGGUCUUUCCUCCAUCGUACAUGUCCUUAAUAGCUCUGAUGUACGCCACCGGAACCCCUCUCACCUCCAAGCAUCUCCAGAGAACUUCCCUUGAGACCCCUCUCUUUUUAGCUCCUGUUAAAGAUUUAUUUUUAUCCAUUAUUAGAUGUAGUUAAUGUAUUGUUGUUGUUGGAAUCUCACCAAGUGAGAAUGCUAGAAUUAUUUGUUGUAUAACACUCUAAAAGCCAUAGGGUUUUUGUUGAUGAUUAAGGUUGACCUUACGAGUUAGUGUUCUUAUUUCUUUUGAUUCCAAUGUUCUUGUUUUAGCUCCUUAAGCUUACUAUUUUAGCUUUCUAGCUUUAAAUCCAUUGUAUUAUUUUAGUUUGAGUGUUGCUUGCUAUAGUUUGAUUCAUUAUUUUAGUAUUAAUCAAAUGUGCUGGCUUUAACUUACCCUUUUUAGUUCACUGUUUUAAUUUAAAGCCUUUGUUGGAACCUUAGUUUGUUGUUUAUUUAGUCUAAGCUGUUUACUGUACUAAGAAAAUUAUAGUGGGUCACUUUCCUUAGAAGUAAAUAUCCCAUGAAGUUUUGGGGAUUUACAGUGUUGUUGAAAGUCGGAUAAGUUCAUUAGUAAAAUUAUUAAUGAAUCAUCGAUGACCUUUUUGUUUGUGGUCUAAUAUCACCGGCCAUAAAGAGGAUGAGGAUGAUCUAGGGUAUUUGUCUGUUUUUCUAUGAUUUUUCAUUGAUUUAAAGAAUAUCCUUAUUUUUUCAAGCUAUUUGUGUUACAAAAUGAAUAGGAGUCUAAAUAGUUUGUGUUGGGUCAUAAAACCAUUGAGAUAUUUACUUUCUCGUCUUUCUUUUCAUCUACUUUUUCUAUUGAUUCCCAGGUCCCCCCGCCCCCCUCCCCCUCCCCCCCUUCCUUUCUCCUAAAUGAUGACGUCAUAUGAUGAACGGUGGGAAUGUAGAGUCUUCAUCUCCAACGUGCAAAGUUCAAAAAUGGCUAUCUCAAGUUUCAAUAGCUUAUUUGUUUGUUCGAAACACCGCUUUGUGAUUAAUAAAAAUAAGUGAUUGAGGUUGAUUUUGUCCAGGUUUUGAUCUGGUUUAAUUUUAGACCAUUAUAUGAAACUUCAUUUUUAAGAUUACUUAGAAAGAAUUCACGUGUGUAUGAUGAUAUCUAUUUCUUUUCAGAAUUAUGUAGUGUAAGAGUUGAGGUAUAUUGCGCUGUCACUUGGUGUUCUAGUUUGGAUAUCUAUGUUAGAUAGAUUUAAUCUGUUCAUAAGCAUGUGUACCCCUUUCCCUUCUCCCCUGUAUGAUCACUGUUUUGGGGUUUGUUUUGAGUUUGCUCUGACUAAGCUAUGUGUGUAUUCAAAAAUCAGUUAGCUACUUGCAUCCACCUACUUGCAACGUGAGACUUUUUAGCAUGUAAGGUGAGUUGAUUUUGUGGUUUUACUGAAGUUGUCUAUGGUUGAUACUAGUUGGUUUCAAACUCUUGAACUUACUAAGAAUUUCGAUUGACGUGAUUCCGAUUUAAACUUGAAUAAUCCCACUAGUCAAGUUUCUAGCUGCAACACCUUCUUGAUAAUCUCUUUCGUGAUCUGAAAUUGAACCCAUAUUAUUUUAACAUGUUGCCCUAUGUUUGUACAUUGUCGGUUCAUGUUUUCUGCAUUAGCAUGACCACAUUGUCACUGUCCAGUGAUAUUACACAUAGGUUUUUAAAUGAAAUUUGAAUUUAAACUUCUCGGUAUGGGUUCACCAAGUGUUUCGGGUGAAACCGGUGAAUGAUAUCUCCUCUUGAAACAUGGAAAUUUGUGUUGUUUGAAUUAAGAGUCAGACAAGUCUUUCCUUAUAAUGUUCACUUGCUUUUAAUUCCUUAGUUGUAAUGAAGUUUGAAUUAAAAUACUUAUUCUUGUCAAGUAUAUUGUUCCAUCACCUAGAGAAUGUAUAUUAAUUUCCUUUUCUUUGUUUGAAUCAUGUGAAACCAAAGCAUUUGAGUCCAUCAUGGACUCAUCCUUGCAUUUCCCUGUGAAGACAAGAAAGAAAUGGGCUACAACCCAAGUGAAGUUGCAGGGGCAAAUCAAAAGGCUCUAAAAGUCCAAGAUUAGCCUAGGACAGGUGGGCAAGACCCAAAUUAAUUAGGACAGACGCAAAAAGUGAAUGGGAAUAGUCAUACACUAUCAUAGGCACUUCUAAUUUCUUUGGAGAUUAGGCUUAACCCACUUCAAGUUGGUUGUCCAUUUUUGACACUCGUAGGGGUUUGAGCCUUAAUGCCUAAACCACCUUC
This 4336-nucleotide long non-coding RNA is filed under the name Capsicum annuum. RNAcentral's name for it is "long non-coding RNA (CANN_LNC015307)". Lineage: Eukaryota; Viridiplantae; Streptophyta; Magnoliopsida; Solanales; Solanaceae. The record is from RNAcentral.